Long non-coding RNA from Brassica napus (rape), 2201 nucleotides. RefSeq lists it as uncharacterized. The transcript is spliced from 2 exons. The record is from RefSeq and is a predicted model, not a curated record. NCBI's taxonomy places the organism in Eukaryota, Viridiplantae, Streptophyta, Magnoliopsida, Brassicales, Brassicaceae.
UAUACGUUCCUAAUAAUAACAAUAUUUUUGAUUUGGUUUGUUUUUAUGGAUAUUGCAAAUUAGUAUUUGAUUUGCUUCGUAGAGUUACGGAUAUCCAGAUUUUUCAGUUCGAACUGAAAACAAAUAACGAAUGAAUCAAAAUUUACAGAUAUUUUGCCUAAUUCUAUGUUUUACAUAGAUUAAAAAAUACUUCAUUAGUAAGUAAUUGUUUUAACAUUUUUAAUCCAAAAAUGUUAUUUUAGAAUUCUAAUAAAAAUUAUAUUUAUUUUCAGUUUAACAUUAAUUGUAAACUGCAUUUAUCUUAUAAAUAAUUUUAUAUAUAUUAAAUAUUAAUGGUCAAAUAGGUGUAAUUAAUAAGAACAUAAAUGCGUGUCAAUCAUUUUUUAUCUGUGUAAAAUUGUUAAAAGUAACAUUUAGAAAAAACAGAAGAAAUAAUAAAAUAUUUUUUUGGUAAACAGUUUUUUAAUAAAAUAUAUCAGUAUACAGUUGUUUAAUGUAUAAUUAUGUAAAUAAAACUAAUGUGAAUCAUACACUUAAUAGGUGGCGUCAUAUAUGGGGACGGAGGCGUGGAUCUCAGGGACCGCCACAUCUCGAUCACCGUCUUCUCUCCACACCGCCUCCAACGCCUGAUCCACUCACGUGCUCUCUUUAACUUCUUUCUCAAAUCUCAAUAAUCGAAUACAUGCAAACAUGUUUUCUAUGUUGAUGGCCAAAAUAAAAGGCAAUUAAUAUCAUUUUCCUCUCUCACUCUCUCCGGUUAAAGGAAAUUUCAGAUCUAUUUCUGAGACCGGUGGCUCCUCCGUCGGUCUCGGCUCCGGUCGCUGUGGUGACAUCGAUUUGCUUGUAGAUGGGAAGGGUUUUCCGAGAGAGUUUGACUGCCGCAAGGGUUCAGAUCUGUGCCGGAUCUGUGGCAGCAGUGGAGGAUCUAAGUUUCUCUGGGCUUGAGGACUGCUCUAGGGUUUUCUUCUUCCUCUGUCCGCUUCGCCUUCUCUCGGUCUCCAAGUAGUGGUCUCUCUCUCUUUCUCGGCUGGCAGAUUUGCUUCCUCAGGUCAGUGCUUUUAUCCUCAGUUAUGGUGGUGGUGAGCUUUUUCUGGUGAGCUUAGAGGACUAGCUAGCCGUAGGUUCCGCAGGCUUCAUUCCGGUGGUGGUUAAGCGUUUUCCAGGGCUUGAGUGUUGAAGUCUCAGUGGUGUCUUUGCGGUAGACUACUGGUGUAUAUGGUAUCUAGCUUUUCUAACAGUGGUUGUGGCAUUGAGCCUUGUUUUAAGGAACUGCCUAGAGUUUCCAUUUCAAGGGUUCGUUUGUCCUAUCUGCGGCUGGUGGCAUAGUUGUAUGAUAGGAUCCCCGACUCCUUCUUGCUCGGAGAAGAUCAUUUUACUGGUUCUCAGUAAAAGGAACGCGGGAGAGGAUGUGGAGGGCUUCGAUUUGGUCUCUCGGAGUUUUCUUGCUUCUGUGGCGACGUGUUAGAGACUGUCAAAUUUUCGGUGGUGGAGGUCUACAUUCUACCGGUGUUUGGUAUUGUCUCUGUCUUCUUUUUCUGCAGGUCUGGUGGGUGUGGCAGUCGCUUUGGCUAUCUUCUUUCCAAAUAAAGAGCUCGGUACAGCUAAUGGACUUCUUUGGUUUGAGAUGUUGGAAGGCUCUUCUCUCUGAUUGGUGGUAGUAGUGUAUCUUCAUACUUUUCCAGCAAAGCUGUGGUGUUUCUUCAUUGUGGCGGGACUGAUGUGGUUGUAGCAUCGUACUUUUCCGGUGAGGCUGCGAUGAUUUUUGAUGUGGCGGGUCUGAUGUGGUUGUGGCAUCGUACUUUUCCAGCAAAGCUGCGGCGUUUGUCGUUGUGGCGGGACUGAUGUGGUUGUAGCAAUUCGUACUUUUCCAGGGAGGCUGCGGUGAAUCUUAUUGUGGCGGGUUUGAUGUGGUUGAAGCUUCGUACUUUCCCAGCAAAGCUGCGACGUGUUUUCGUUGUGGUUGGACUGAUGUGGUUGGAGUUUUCUAUUCUUUAGUCGUGGUAUAGAGAUUUAUGUGGCCUCUCGUUCUAAGGUGAUUUUAUUGGUUGUGGUCAUAGUGUUUGUUCAUUUUUCUUUUUUGCUGCCAUAGAUUUUGGUUUUUCUAAUUUCUUUGUUGUGUCUCUGUAUUUCUGUCAAAAAUUAAAAGUUGGUAUAAAAUUUAACAUUUUACCCAAAAAAAAAAAAUGUUUUCUAUGUUGGUU